GCCCUUAGAGUUUUCUCAUGGCUCANAUUGAACGCUGGCGGCAGGCCUAACACAUGCAAGUCGAGCGGCAGCACAAGUGAGUUUACUCAUGAGGUGGCGAGCGGCGGACGGGUGAGUAAUGCCUAGGGAUCUGCCCAGUCGAGGGGGAUAACAGUUGGAAACGACUGCUAAUACCGCAUACGCCCUACGGGGGAAAGAGGGGGACUUUCGGGCCUCUCGCGAUUGGAUGAACCUAGGUGGGAUUAGCUAGUUGGUGAGGUAAUGGCUCACCAAGGCGACNAUCCCUAGCUGUUCUGAGAGGAUGAUCAGCCACACUGGGACUGAGACACGGCCCAGACUCCUACGGGAGGCAGCAGUGGGGAAUAUUGCACAAUGGGGGAAACCCUGAUGCAGCCAUGCCGCGUGUGUGAAGAAGGCCUUCGGGUUGUAAAGCACUUUCAGUAGGGAGGAAAGGUUGUAAGUUAAUACCUUGCAGCUGUGACGUUACCUACAGAAGAAGGACCGGCUAACUCCGUGCCAGCAGCCGCGGUAAUACGGAGGGUCCAAGCGU
This 550-nucleotide ribosomal RNA is filed under the name uncultured Gammaproteobacteria bacterium. RNAcentral's name for it is "bacterial SSU rRNA". It matches the Rfam family "Bacterial small subunit ribosomal RNA", at positions 1 to 541 of the family's 1533-position model. The record is from RNAcentral. Lineage: Bacteria; Pseudomonadati; Pseudomonadota; Gammaproteobacteria.